GCCUUCUUAGCUCAAUUGGUAGAGCGUAAGACUGAAGAUCUUAAGGUCGCGUGAUCGAUACACGCAGAAGGCA
Non-coding RNA from Schistocerca gregaria, 73 nucleotides. Lineage: Eukaryota; Metazoa; Arthropoda; Insecta; Orthoptera; Acrididae. The record is from the annotation of a RefSeq genome assembly.